GCUGAAAAGAAGGAAAAUCCAAAAACGAUAACAAGUAUAUCAUAAAGUUCUAGAAACCAUAACAUAUACUAUAGCGAACCUAAUAACAAUCAUAUGUGAAACGAUGGAACUAUUUUGACAAGAUUAACCAUACAUCUUAUAGUACAAGGACAAUAAUCCACAUAGCAAAUUCAAAUCAUCCGUUUAAGUCGAACCCUUUCCUUUCCCAUCACACUUCACAAUUCAUUUUCCCUUGCCGAAAGCCAAGUGCAUUGAUAUGUCCACGUCUCGUUUCUCGCUUAUUCGAGCUGGCUUGUCAAAGAUGCUUGGCAACUCUUCAUCUUCCUCGUUGGGCUCAUGAUUCACCGCUUCAUGAAUAGAACUCGACUCCCUACUUAAAACUUCUUCUUUCACCCAAUCAAAAUAUCCACAAUAAUUACUACAAGUGAAGAAGAAUCGCCCUUUGUUACUAGUUUUCUAUUCGAUCUCAAAACAUUUUCGAUAUCCUUGUUUACACGAAGGGCAUUGUCGUUUUUUUGGUAUUGUCUAAAGUAGUGAGUGUUGCUUCUGCAACCGUGACAAAAACCCCGAAUUCCUUCCUCUCAUUCUAGUCGAUAACUGCUGAACAAACAAAUAAACAAUAAUUAAUGCAAUUCAAUUACAA
This 643-nucleotide long non-coding RNA is filed under the name Olea europaea subsp. europaea. The record is from RNAcentral. Lineage: Eukaryota; Viridiplantae; Streptophyta; Magnoliopsida; Lamiales; Oleaceae.